Molecule: long non-coding RNA, 238 nt
Filed under: Gossypium raimondii (Peruvian cotton)
Lineage: Eukaryota; Viridiplantae; Streptophyta; Magnoliopsida; Malvales; Malvaceae
Description: long non-coding RNA (GRAI_LNC006779)
Source: RNAcentral
GGAGAUUUACGGUUUGUAUUACUAUAAUUUGAAUUUAUUUAUUUUCAAUUGUUAAAUUUCAACUAAAAUACUUGGUAAGUGAAAUUGAGGUGAGUAUUAAAAUAUUGCAUUGAAUAAAAGUGAAUGAAAUGAAUUGAAUCGAAGUGAAAUCAUCUGAACUGUAUAUUGAUUAAAAAGUGGAAAGUGAAAUUGAAUUGAAUUGUGAUUGAAUCGAAAGUGAAUUUGAAAUAGAAAAAUG